GGGCCUAUAGUAUAGUGGCAAUACACAUCCAUGGCAUGGAUGGGUUUGGGGUUCGAUUCCCCAUAGGUCCA
Molecule: transfer RNA, 71 nt
Filed under: bacterium
Lineage: Bacteria
Description: tRNA-Ala
Rfam family: tRNA
About the family: Transfer RNA (tRNA) molecules are approximately 80 nucleotides in length. Their secondary structure includes four short double-helical elements and three loops (D, anti-codon, and T loops).
Source: RNAcentral